CUUAUGACUAAGUAGAAAAUUAUUUGUAUUCCUUAAAGCUGUGGUAACUAAAACGAUGUAAUCAAAGAGGCUGCAGAGGAAGUUGGCAGUUAUUGCAAUUGACAUUUCGUGGUAGAAAAUAGUUAUUAUACAUCAUACAUGUACAUGAACUUAAUAACACAAUUCAUUUUUGUGGUUAAAAUUAAAAAUGACCUAAAUUUAUAAAACACCAGGUUCAACAUAAAAUUUAAGCGAUAGAUUUUUGGUUGCUGAAUGUCUAACAUGUUAUUUAAAAUAUUAUACAUACAUGCAUAUGAAAGAAGUACAUGUACUAUUAGCUAAGGAUAAAUGAAGGCAUGGAUUUACCUUUUUCAAAUUUAAAACUGCUGCGUUCUACAUCGUGUACAUGUAUAAUUCAAAUUUUAACAAAAUAAAUAAUUAUAUCAAACAUUCCCCCCCAAUGAGACAACUCUCCAUCCAAAUCACUUUUUGUAAAAGUAAACCAUUAUAAUUAUAUCAAACAUUCCCCCCCAAUGAGACAACUCUCCAUCCAAAUCACUUUUUGUAAAAGUAAACCAUUAUAACGGUCUUCAAUACAGAUAUUGAGACUUGGUCCACCGAACAGCAAGCUAUAAAGGGCCCCCAAAAUGACUAGUCUAAAAUAUUUAAAGAGGAAAACCAACAGUCUAAUCUAUAUAAAAAAAAAACGAAAAACGAGAACCACAUCAACAAACAGCAACCACUGAACAUCAGCCUGAACUUGUAGACUUUAAAGAAAUUGUAUUCUUAAUGGUUUUGUGUGUAGAAAAUUAUAGGUUAUUACCAAACGGCUUAAAUACCCAAAAUUGUUUUGCCCUAUAAUCACAAUUAUAUUGCCAUAAAAUGUAGAUAAUUGGUCCAAUUUCAUUUUAUCUAGUAAAUAU
This 902-nucleotide long non-coding RNA is filed under the name Mytilus galloprovincialis (Mediterranean mussel). The record is from RNAcentral. Lineage: Eukaryota; Metazoa; Mollusca; Bivalvia; Mytilida; Mytilidae.